GUAACGGCGAGUGAAGCGGCAACAGCUCAAAUUUGAAAGCUGGCCCCCUCGGGGUCCGCGUUGUAAUUUGUAGAGGAUGAUUCGGCGAGGGCUCCCGCCUAAGUCCCCUGGAACGGGGCGUCAUAGAGGGUGAGAAUCCCGUAUGUGAUGGGUUGCCUUAGCCAUGUGAAUCUCCUUCGACGAGUCGAGUUGUUUGGGAAUGCAGCUCUAAAUGGGAGGUAAAUUUCUUCUAAAGCUAAAUACCGGCCAGAGACCGAUAGCGCACAAGUAGAGUGAUCGAAAGAUGAAAAGCACUUUGGAAAGAGAGUUAAAAAGUACGUGAAAUUGUUGAAAGGGAAGCGCUUGCAGUCAGACUUGUCCGCGGUUGCUCAGCCGGUCUCUUGACCGGCGUACUCUUCCGCGGCCAGGCCAGCAUCAGUUCGGGCGGUCGGAUAAAGACCUCGGGAAUGUAGCUCCUCUCGGGGAGUGUUAUAGCCCGGGGUGGAAUGCGGCCAGCCUGGACUGAGGAUCUCGCUUCGGCUAGGAUGCUGGCGUAAUGGCUGUAAGCGGCCCGUCUUGAAACACGGACCAAGGAGUCUAACAUCUAUGCGAGUGUUUGGGUGUCAAACCCAUACGCGUAAUGAAAGUGAACGGAGGUGGGAACCCUCACGGGUGCACCAUCGACCGAUCCUGAUGUCUUCGGAUGGAUUUGAGUAAGAGCAUAGCUGUUGGGACCCGAAAGAUGGUGAACUAUGCCUGAAUAGGGUGAAGCCAGAGGAAACUCUGGUGGAGGCUCGCAGCGGUUCUGACGUGCAAAUCGAUCGUCAAAUUUGGGUAUAGGGGCGAAAGAC
This 830-nucleotide ribosomal RNA is filed under the name Dothiorella thailandica. RNAcentral describes it as "eukaryotic LSU rRNA". It matches the Rfam family "Eukaryotic large subunit ribosomal RNA", at positions 83 to 931 of the family's 3401-position model. Lineage: Eukaryota; Fungi; Ascomycota; Dothideomycetes; Botryosphaeriales; Botryosphaeriaceae. The record is from RNAcentral.